GCCGGGGUUUCUUUACCAGGUACUGUCAUUAUCAUCCCUGGCGAAAGAGCUUUACGACCCUAGGGCCUUCAUCACUCACGCGGCAUGGCUAGAUCAGGCUUUCGCCCAUUGUCUAAGAUUC
RNAcentral lists this ribosomal RNA (121 nucleotides) under uncultured bacterium. RNAcentral's name for it is "partial 16S ribosomal RNA". The record is from RNAcentral.